UACCAGACUCCUACGGGAGGCAGCAGUGGGGAAUAUUGCACAAUGGGGGAAACCCUGAUGCAGCGACGCCGCGUGAGUGAAGAAGUAAUUCGUUAUGUAAAGCUCUAUCAGCAGGGAAGAAAAUGACGGUACCUGAGUAAGAAGCCCCGGCUAACUACGUGCCAGCAGCCGCGGUAAUACGUAGGGGGCAAGCGUUAUCCGGAUUUACUGGGUGUAAAGGGAGCGUAGACGGUUGUGCAAGUCUGAAGUGAAAGCCCGCGGCUCAACUGCGGAACGGCUUUGGAAACUGUGUAACUGGAGUGCUGGAGAGGUAAGCGGAAUUCCUGGUGUAGCGGUGAAAUGCGUAGAGAUCAGGAGGAACACCGGCGGCGAAGGCGGCUUACUGGACAGUAACUGACACUGAGGCACGAAAGCGUGGGGAGCAAACAGGAUUAGAUACCCCGGUAA
This 447-nucleotide ribosomal RNA is filed under the name uncultured bacterium. RNAcentral describes it as "bacterial SSU rRNA". It matches the Rfam family "Bacterial small subunit ribosomal RNA", at positions 329 to 793 of the family's 1533-position model. The record is from RNAcentral.